Non-coding RNA from Arachis ipaensis, 1594 nucleotides. The record is from RefSeq and is a predicted model, not a curated record. Lineage: Eukaryota; Viridiplantae; Streptophyta; Magnoliopsida; Fabales; Fabaceae.
UUGAAGGUGUAAUAAAGUUAUGUCUCAAAGUUGAUAAAAGCUAUGAUUGAGUGCUGGCAUAUUUCAAUCAUCUCCCUAAUUAAACUUUGAAGAUUAUGUGAUCUGCAGCUUCUAUGUAAUUGGAGUCAUGUUUAUGAAGAGGAGGAAUGUUCAUGAAUAAAAGAAUUUAUGAAAUUUGAAUGAAAAUUUAUGAAACUAGUUCAUAAUUUAUGAAAUAGAAUGUUCAUAAAGAGAAUGAUUUUGUUACAGGUGCAACGUGUUACACAAUGUAGCAAAAUAGAAUGCAUCAACUUCAGAGUUCAUAUAACAUUGCACUUUGAAGCUCUCCUUUCUCAUCCAGAUACUAAUCACAGUAAACUCAACAAAUAUGAAGGAUCCAUGAAACAAAUGGGUCACUGGAUUAGAAUGAACCGAGUCUGACCCAAAUAGCAAAUUUGGUGAAGCAACCAAACCAAGCUUCGCUGUCUCUUGGCCUGGGUCAGGUAGUCGAGCACAGAAACUAAUGAUUGUAACUGCAUAACAGGAUUGGAACUUAGGAGGAAGUAUCAUUUCAGAAGCUAAAAAUGGUUGGAAAGAGAUUAAGCAUAACCUUAACAAUAACAUUCACUGCUAUUUCCUUCUCCACUACAAUCUCUAGUAUGUUACACACAGAACUACUUUCCCCAUGUUCUCUUUAAUUGUUUAUUUAUUUAUUUUUUAUGAGUAUUUACUAAAAGUUCGAAGCUUUGUACCUGCCCAUGUUCUAUUAGCAUAUGUUUUAAGUAGAAAAUGUAAGAGUUUAAAGUCCAAAAUUCUUGAGCUGGAGGCAUCUCUCAAGUCUUCCUUAGAUAAAUGUGCCUCUGAAAGGCAAGGGAGAAUUAGGGCUCAACAGGUUACCCUUCUUUCAACACUCCUAUUCUUCAUUCAUUUCUAGUAACUUUAAUCUUAACUUGGUCGGUUACUUGCUCUUCAAUCAUGUCUCAAUUGGCACUUGCCACUCACCACUACAUCAAGUUUAGUUUUUUACCCCUUUUUUAUCCCCCCUAGUUCUUUUGCUGAUUCAUUUGCUCAAGUAUUUAUCUGAAAAUCUGAAGCUGACAUAUUACCCUAUGGCACCGAUUGGUACCAUCCGCUCAUGCUUCACUACGAGCCAAUGAAUAAUGUUUAUUCAAUAGUUUUUAAUUUCAAAAUUUGAUCAUUAAGAUCCUUAGGUAGUUAAGUGCAUUAUUAAUAUUGAAUUUUUCCUAUGCUUAUUCAGUAGGUAACCUGCACAUUGAUAAAUUCCUUAUUCAAUGUCACAUUCAUGAUUAAUGAAAUAUUGCUUUAUACUAGUAUAGGAAUGGGACACCGAGGCAACCGUUACUUGUCCCACUUGCUAGAGCCUAUAUGGUUUUUAAUGCCACUCGUGUUCCGCCAGCAUAUCUUGAGGGUCUAGCUGAAUAUUUUCACUGCUGGGUUUUAUAUGUAUUUUAUUUAAAUACAUAUCUUGAGAAACUAUAGAAGCUUGUAGUAUUUUUUUGUUGUUUAGAUUUGUAACAUGGUUUAUUACUUUUCAAGUGAAAUUUGGGUAUCAAUAUUUUGAGUUUAAUAAAAUAUCUCAUUUUGUAGUAAUUAA